AGGCACUGCGCGGGAGAGCGCGGGCGAACCUUUCAGGUUCGGCCCGCCGCCGAAGGAGCAACCGCCCCGGAAUCUCUCAGGCAACCGGACCGCGCAGGGCUG
This 102-nucleotide non-coding RNA is filed under the name Sphingomonas sp. RNAcentral describes it as "Glycine sequence". It matches the Rfam family "Glycine riboswitch aptamer". From Rfam's summary of the family: This family represents the bacterial glycine riboswitch. RNAcentral also lists the same sequence under 1 other name. The record is from RNAcentral. Lineage: Bacteria; Pseudomonadati; Pseudomonadota; Alphaproteobacteria; Sphingomonadales; Sphingomonadaceae.